AGGUGAAUCAAGUAACUGGGGUGAAGUCGUAACAAGGUAGCCGUAUCGGAAGGUGCGGCUGGAUCACCUCCUUUCUAAGGAA
Molecule: ribosomal RNA, 82 nt
Filed under: Bianquea renquensis
Lineage: Bacteria; Bacillati; Bacillota; Clostridia; Eubacteriales; Bianqueaceae
Description: Clostridiales bacterium NSJ-32 partial 16S ribosomal RNA
Rfam family: Bacterial small subunit ribosomal RNA
Source: RNAcentral